This 72-nucleotide transfer RNA is filed under the name Trichonephila clavata. RNAcentral's name for it is "tRNA-Arg". It matches the Rfam family "tRNA". Rfam says of the family: Transfer RNA (tRNA) molecules are approximately 80 nucleotides in length. Their secondary structure includes four short double-helical elements and three loops (D, anti-codon, and T loops). Further hydrogen bonds mediate the characteristic L-shaped molecular structure. tRNAs have two regions of fundamental functional importance: the anti-codon, which is responsible for specific mRNA codon recognition, and the 3' end, to which the tRNAs corresponding amino acid is attached (by aminoacyl-tRNA synthetases). tRNAs cope with the degeneracy of the genetic code in two manners: having more than one tRNA (with a specific anti-codon) for a particular amino acid; and 'wobble' base-pairing, i.e. permitting non-standard base-pairing at the 3rd anti-codon position. Lineage: Eukaryota; Metazoa; Arthropoda; Arachnida; Araneae; Nephilidae. The record is from RNAcentral.
UCCCUGUAGAGCAGUGGAUAGCGCGUUGGACUUCUAAUCCAAAGGUCAUGCAUUCGAAUCUCACCUGGAAAA